RNAcentral lists this ribosomal RNA (220 nucleotides) under uncultured bacterium. RNAcentral's name for it is "partial 16S ribosomal RNA". It matches the Rfam family "Bacterial small subunit ribosomal RNA", at positions 114 to 334 of the family's 1533-position model. The record is from RNAcentral.
CGCGUAUGCAAUCUACCCACUGCAGAGGGAUAGCCCGUGGAAACAUGGAUUAAUACCUCAUAAUACAGGGAGCCCACCUGGGCAUAUUGUUAAAGCUCCGGCGGCAGUGGAUGAGCAUGCGUCCCAUUAGCUAGUUGGUAAGAUAACGGCUUACCAAGGCAAUGAUGGGUAGGGGUUCUGAGAGGAUGAUCCCCCACGCUGGUACUGAGAUACGGACCAG